AAUUAUUAUUAGAUUUUUAAAUAAUUAUUCACGAAAUAAAUUGAGCUAAAUUUUUGGUAUUUUUGGAAAUUAUAACUAUAUGUUACAAAAUAUAUUAACUAAAUAGAUUUAGGGGUGAAAGGCCUAUCAAAUUUUAUGAUAUCUUGAAGUAUAUAAAAUAUAUUAAGUAUUUCUAAUUCAACUAUUGAAUGUUUAGGUUCAAUAGUAACAUUAUAUUUUUUAAAAAAUUGUUCAAUUUUUUUAAGUAAAAUUGAGUUAGAGCAUAAAAUAUACAUCAAAUUUUUAUUAUAUGAAUAUAAAUAUACUACGGUUAUUAAUAAAUAUAAUCAUAUAUAAUGUAAUUAUUAGUAAUAGUUUAUUAAACUAUAUAAAGGAAUUCGGCAAGAAAAUUUUUCACCUGUUUAUCAAAAACAUAGCUUAUUGAAUAUCAUAAUAAGUAACCCCUGCUCAAUGGAAAUCUAAAUAGCCGCAGUACCUUGACUGUGCAAAGGUAGCAUAAUCAAUUGGCUUAUAAUUGAAGUCUGGAAUGAAUGGGUAAUCUGGAAAAUAACUGUCUUUAUUUGUAGUAUUUUGAAUUUACUUAUAAAGUGAAAAUACUUUAAUAUAAAUAUAAGACGAGAAGACCCUAGAAAUUUUUUGUUAAUAACUUUUGUUGGGGCGACAGGGUAACAUAUAAACUUACUUACAUUUAUAUAAAUCUUAUAAGGUACGUAACUAAAUUACUCUAGGGAUAACAGCAUAAUAUAUAAAAGUUUAUGACCUCGAUGUUGGACUAGGUAAUUAAAUAUUUAAAAGAUAUCUUAAUU
RNAcentral lists this ribosomal RNA (806 nucleotides) under Perforatella incarnata. RNAcentral describes it as "Monachoides incarnatus partial large subunit ribosomal RNA". Lineage: Eukaryota; Metazoa; Mollusca; Gastropoda; Stylommatophora; Hygromiidae. The record is from RNAcentral.